Molecule: ribosomal RNA, 438 nt
Filed under: uncultured bacterium
Lineage: Bacteria
Description: bacterial SSU rRNA
Rfam family: Bacterial small subunit ribosomal RNA
Source: RNAcentral
GAUGAACGCUAGCGAGAUGCCUAACACAUGCAAGUCGAACGCUUCGGCGUGGCAAACGAGUGAGUAACACGUGCUUAACGUGCCCUUCAGUGGGGGAUACCUGUGGAAACACAACUAAUCCCGCAUACGAUCCAAGAAAUGAAAAUACUUGGAUGAAAGAUUUAUCGCUGAAGGAGCGGGGCGCGGCCUAUUAGUUAGUUGGUGAGGUAAUGGCUCACCAAGACGAUGAUGGGUAGCUGGUCUGAGAGGAUGAUCAGCCACGAUGGAACUGAGACACGGUCCAUACCCCUACGGGGGGCAGCAGUGGGGAAUAUUGCACAAUGGACGAAAGUCUGAUGCAGCAAUCUCGCGUGAAGGAUGAAGCAUUACGGUGUGUAAACUUCUUUUUUGGAGGAAGACGACUGACUGUACUCCAAGAAUAAGGGACGGCUAACUACG